This 1471-nucleotide ribosomal RNA is filed under the name Staphylococcus aureus. Its description in RNAcentral is "partial 16S ribosomal RNA". It matches the Rfam family "Bacterial small subunit ribosomal RNA". Lineage: Bacteria; Bacillati; Bacillota; Bacilli; Caryophanales; Staphylococcaceae. The record is from RNAcentral.
UGCCUAAUACAUGCAAGUCGAGCGAACGGACGAGAAGCUUGCUUCUCUGAUGUUAGCGGCGGACGGGUGAGUAACACGUGGAUAACCUACCUAUAAGACUGGGAUAACUUCGGGAAACCGGAGCUAAUACCGGAUAAUAUUUUGAACCGCAUGGUUCAAAAGUGAAAGACGGUCUUGCUGUCACUUAUAGAUGGAUCCGCGCUGCAUUAGCUAGUUGGUAAGGUAACGGCUUACCAAGGCAACGAUGCAUAGCCGACCUGAGAGGGUGAUCGGCCACACUGGAACUGAGACACGGUCCAGACUCCUACGGGAGGCAGCAGUAGGGAAUCUUCCGCAAUGGGCGAAAGCCUGACGGAGCAACGCCGCGUGAGUGAUGAAGGUCUUCGGAUCGUAAAACUCUGUUAUUAGGGAAGAACAUAUGUGUAAGUAACUGUGCACAUCUUGACGGUACCUAAUCAGAAAGCCACGGCUAACUACGUGCCAGCAGCCGCGGUAAUACGUAGGUGGCAAGCGUUAUCCGGAAUUAUUGGGCGUAAAGCGCGCGUAGGCGGUUUUUUAAGUCUGAUGUGAAAGCCCACGGCUCAACCGUGGAGGGUCAUUGGAAACUGGAAAACUUGAGUGCAGAAGAGGAAAGUGGAAUUCCAUGUGUAGCGGUGAAAUGCGCAGAGAUAUGGAGGAACACCAGUGGCGAAGGCGACUUUCUGGUCUGUAACUGACGCUGAUGUGCGAAAGCGUGGGGAUCAAACAGGAUUAGAUACCCUGGUAGUCCACGCCGUAAACGAUGAGUGCUAAGUGUUAGGGGGUUUCCGCCCCUUAGUGCUGCAGCUAACGCAUUAAGCACUCCGCCUGGGGAGUACGACCGCAAGGUUGAAACUCAAAGGAAUUGACGGGGACCCGCACAAGCGGUGGAGCAUGUGGUUUAAUUCGAAGCAACGCGAAGAACCUUACCAAAUCUUGACAUCCUUUGACAACUCUAGAGAUAGAGCUUUCCCCUUCGGGGGACAAAGUGACAGGUGGUGCAUGGUUGUCGUCAGCUCGUGUCGUGAGAUGUUGGGUUAAGUCCCGCAACGAGCGCAACCCUUAAGCUUAGUUGCCAUCAUUAAGUUGGGCACUCUAAGUUGACUGCCGGUGACAAACCGGAGGAAGGUGGGGAUGACGUCAAAUCAUCAUGCCCCUUAUGAUUUGGGCUACACACGUGCUACAAUGGACAAUACAAAGGGCAGCGAAACCGCGAGGUCAAGCAAAUCCCAUAAAGUUGUUCUCAGUUCGGAUUGUAGUCUGCAACUCGACUACAUGAAGCUGGAAUCGCUAGUAAUCGUAGAUCAGCAUGCUACGGUGAAUACGUUCCCGGGUCUUGUACACACCGCCCGUCACACCACGAGAGUUUGUAACACCCGAAGCCGGUGGAGUAACCUUUUAGGAGCUAGCCGUCGAAGGUGGGACAAAUGAUUGGGGUGAAGUCGUAAAGGGA